CCCCUCUCAAGGUUGCACCUGGAGAGUUUUCAGUCCCCUACCAGUCUCAACUACAGGAGGGAGAGACUAGCAGAGGUCUACCCAUUCCAUUCCUAGCUUGGGCAGUGGCUAGCGAGUGGAAGGCAACCAGCUACAAGU
Small nucleolar RNA from Tachyglossus aculeatus (Australian echidna), 138 nucleotides. The record is from RefSeq and is a predicted model, not a curated record. Lineage: Eukaryota; Metazoa; Chordata; Mammalia; Monotremata; Tachyglossidae.